Molecule: non-coding RNA, 140 nt
Organism: Oryctolagus cuniculus (rabbit)
Lineage: Eukaryota; Metazoa; Chordata; Mammalia; Lagomorpha; Leporidae
Source: Rfam
GAGGACAGAGUUACAGGCACCCAGGCCCUUAAGCCCCAACCAGACGAUUGCCCCAGGAAUGAGUGAAGAUGGAGGGGUUCAGCAAGGCCCCCCUGCCACCCCAGACUCACACAUGUAGAUUCUGGCCCCAGUCUCGUAAG